GAGGCAUGGAUGGUAUCAGGCAAGUGGAGGGGGGUGCCUGUGGUCAGGGGGCCGGGCAUGGCAUGCACUUAAUUUGUUGGCACUAGGGGCGCUGAGGUGACUGAGGCCAUUGUCAUGUGCACAGCCUGGGCAAUGGCUUUCCUUGGUUGGAAGGCUGACUGUACUGACUCUGCUUGCUGUUGAAGGUCUGGAACUUCAG
This 199-nucleotide long non-coding RNA is filed under the name Dunaliella salina. RNAcentral's name for it is "long non-coding RNA (DSAL_LNC000209)". Lineage: Eukaryota; Viridiplantae; Chlorophyta; Chlorophyceae; Chlamydomonadales; Dunaliellaceae. The record is from RNAcentral.